Molecule: long non-coding RNA, 633 nt
Filed under: Sus scrofa (pig)
Lineage: Eukaryota; Metazoa; Chordata; Mammalia; Artiodactyla; Suidae
Description: lncRNA (ENSSSCG00040008470.1)
Source: RNAcentral
UGACAUUCAGUGAAGUACCAGGUUCAAAUAAUUAGAAGAUUUUAAUUCAGGAUGAAGGGAAUAGGACAACUUCAUAUUUGGGGCUCCUGGAAGAUCAGAUGUGAAUACAGAUAUUAGAUCUGGAUCCGUGUGUACCGUGGGUCCCAUGGAGCAACCUCCAUAGUCAUUUCUCAGGCUCCUAAAUCAGGAGCUUCAAAGGUAACUCCUGGGGUGAUUUUUAGUGACUUUCCAUCAGUGUGGGUAUAAUUGACAUUGUCAAUUUUCCACUGGCUUCUUUGUAUAGUCUUCUGGUUUCCGGGUAUCCACUGGACUUGAGCUGACCCUAGACUGAUCUCAUGGCAUCUUUGGGGGACCUGAAUCAACAGCUUCCAGCUCAGAACAGGAAUCUGAAACAUAGCACCUACCUCUGAAGACACUAAACAAAAUGCACAAAAUGUCUAUUUGGACCAGAAGGAGCAUUUGAGACUGUCAGUGGCUGUCUUCAAGGGUUCAGAGAACUGAUGUGAUUCCCUCCUCUGCUAUAUUUCUGGAAAAGCAGUUCACCGACCAACUCUAACUAGAGGAAACUUGGGCUGACACUGAACAUUCACUUCGUGCUUUCCCAAAGCCUAAGGGAGCUUUGUGGAAGGGAGG